Chelonia mydas (Green sea turtle) is the source of this 72-nucleotide non-coding RNA. Lineage: Eukaryota; Metazoa; Chordata; Testudines; Cheloniidae. The record is from Rfam.
GGUCCCAUGAUGUAACGGUCAGCACUCAGGACUCUGACUCCUGCAAUCUGAGUUCAAAUCUUGGUGGGACCG